Molecule: ribosomal RNA, 494 nt
Filed under: uncultured bacterium
Lineage: Bacteria
Description: partial 16S ribosomal RNA
Rfam family: Bacterial small subunit ribosomal RNA
Source: RNAcentral
GACGAACGCUGGCGGCGCGCUUAACACAUGCAAGUCGAACGGAAAGGCCUGCUUUCCCUUGUGGAUUGCGGGUACUCGAGUGGCGAACGGGUGAGUAACACGUGAGUGAUCUGCCCCCAACUUGGGUAUAAGCCUGGGAAACUGGGUCUAAUUCCCGAUAGCACUGCAGGGUGGUGCCUGUGGUGGAAAACGAUUUUCUAGUGGUUGGGGAUGAGCUCGCGGCCUAUCAGCUUGUUGGUGGGGUAAUGGCCUACCAAGGCGGCGACGGGUAGCCGGCCUGAGAGGGUGGACGGGCACAUUGGGACUGAGAUACGGCCCAGAAGCCUACGGGAGGCAGCAGUGGGGAAUAUUGCACAAUGGGCGGAAGCCUGAUGCAGCGACGCCGCGUGGGGGAUGACGGCCUUCGGGUUGUAGACUCCUUUCGACCGCGAGGAAGCCACCUGGUUGGAAGGGUGGUGACGGUAGUGGUAGAAGAAGCACCGGCUAACUACGUG